Molecule: ribosomal RNA, 440 nt
Filed under: uncultured bacterium
Lineage: Bacteria
Description: partial 16S ribosomal RNA
Rfam family: Bacterial small subunit ribosomal RNA
Source: RNAcentral
CCUACGGGUGGCAGCAGUGGGGAAUAUUGCACAAUGGGGGAAACCCUGAUGCAGCAACGCCGCGUGAGUGAUGACGGCCUUCGGGUUGUAAAGCUCUGUCUUCAGGGACGAGAAGGACGGUAACUGAGGAGGAAGCCACGGCUAACGACGUGCCAGCAGCCGCGGGAAUACGUAGGUGGCGCGCGUUGUCCGGAUUUACUGGGCGUAAAGGGAGCGUAGGCGGACUUUUAAGUGAGAUGUGACAUACUCGGGCUCAACUUGAGUGCUGCAUUUCAAACUGGAAGUCUAGAGUGCAGGAGAGGAGACUGGAAUUCCUAGUGUAGCGGUGACAUGCGUAGAGAUUAGGAAGCACACCAGUGGCGAAGGCGAUUCUCUGGACUGUACCUGACGCUGAGGCUCGAAAGCGUGGGGAGCAAACAGGAUUAGAUACCCUUGUAGUC